UGGGGGAUAUUGCACAAUGGACGGAAGUCUGAUGCAGCGACGUCGUGUGGGGGAUGAAGGCCUUCGGGUUGUAAACUCCUUUCGCCCGCGGAAAAGGCAGGGUUUUGGCCUUGUUGAUGGUAGUGGGUAAAGAAGCGCCGGCUAACUACGUGCCAGCAGCCGCGGUAAUACGUAGGGCGCGAGCGUUGUCCGGAAUUAUUGGGCGUAAAGGGCUCGUAGGCGGUUUGUCGCGUCUAGCGUUUAAGGCUGGGGCUUAACCCGGGUUUGCGUUGGGUACGGGCAGGCUUGAGUGCGGUAGGGGUAACUGGAAUUCCUGGUGUAGCGGUGGAAUGCGCAGAUAUCAGGAGGAACACCGGUGGCGAAGGCGGGUUACUGGGCCGUUACUGACGCUGAGGAGCGAGAGCGUGGGGAGCGAACAGG
Molecule: ribosomal RNA, 420 nt
Filed under: Gemmatimonadota bacterium
Lineage: Bacteria; Pseudomonadati; Gemmatimonadota
Description: Gemmatimonadetes bacterium partial 16S ribosomal RNA
Rfam family: Bacterial small subunit ribosomal RNA
Source: RNAcentral